This 143-nucleotide ribosomal RNA is filed under the name uncultured eukaryote. Its description in RNAcentral is "partial 18S ribosomal RNA". It matches the Rfam family "Eukaryotic small subunit ribosomal RNA", at positions 1299 to 1458 of the family's 1831-position model. The record is from RNAcentral.
UGGUGGAGCGAUUUGUCUGGUCAAUUCCGAUAACGAACGAGACUCUAGCCUACUAAAUAGUUCGGGGACCCCCACAAAGGGGCCCCGCUUCAACUUCUUAGAGGGACAGGUGGUGUUUAGCCACACGAGAUUGAGCAAUAACA